This is a non-coding RNA of Triticum aestivum (bread wheat), 106 nucleotides long. The record is from Rfam. Lineage: Eukaryota; Viridiplantae; Streptophyta; Magnoliopsida; Poales; Poaceae.
AAAGUACUCCCUCCGUUCGGAAUUACUCGUCCAAAAAAUGAAUGUAUCUAGACAUCUAUUUUUAUUCAUUUUCGUGACAAGUAAUUCUGAACGGAGGGAGUAGUUA